RNAcentral lists this ribosomal RNA (253 nucleotides) under uncultured bacterium. Its description in RNAcentral is "partial 16S ribosomal RNA". It matches the Rfam family "Bacterial small subunit ribosomal RNA", at positions 524 to 776 of the family's 1533-position model. The record is from RNAcentral.
UACGUAGGGUGCAAGCGUUGUCCGGAAUUAUUGGGCGUAAAGAGCUCGUAGGCGGUCUGUCGCGUCUGCUGUGAAAACUCGGGGCUUAACCCCGGGCCUGCAGUGGGUACGGGCAGACUAGAGUGCGGUAGGGGAGACUGGAAUUCCCGGUGUAGUGGUGGAAUGCGUAGAUAUCGGGAGGAACACCAGUGGCGAAGGCGGUUGCCUGGAGCUUUGCUGACGCUGAGGCGCGAAAGCGUGGGGAGCGAUCCGG